GUUCCUUCAGAAUUAUGAUCAGAUAUUGAAGAGGAUGAUUUUUGUUUAGUGUCCAACAUGCCCAUUUGCUGUGCAUUUUAUUUCGACAGAUGUUGUCUAAAACACCAGAAUUAUCAUCAGAUAUUGAAGAGGAUGAUUUUUGUUUAGUAAGUUUUUUAUUUAUAACAAUAUCUAUUGCAUUGCCCAGGUAACUUCUUUCCUACAGCAAGCUUCCCUAUUUCCAUAGCCAGAGAUACACACUUAAUCCAGAUCAAAUACAAAUCUGCCACUAUUAUCAGAAAAAUAUUCCCUUUAGUCUAAGGUAUUUUGCCUCAUCCUGGCUGCCUUUCCUUCUUACUCUAGCCAGUGAUUCUCCACACUAGGAGGGGAACAUUAUGGAAAUACGCAGGUGUGGUUUGGCUUGUCACAAUGACAGAGGGGUUCUCCUGACAAUAGGUAAGCACAAUCCUAGCUAGGAUGCUUAUCAUCCUACAACAUUUAGGACCAUGUCGCACAACUGAAAAAUAAUCCCCCUAUUAAGAAACACUUAGACAACUUGAACCAUUAACUUUGUCUAUUUUCUUUUAAUAUCUUCAACUCUCAUACUCUAUCUUUCUGCCACAUACCCAUUUAAAUUAAAAAAAUAGAAUCCAUCAUCUGUUCGCAUCUUACUAUUAACACCAAGGCUACUAAGCUUUGAGAAAAUUGUACAUAUUUAUGAACAUAUUUAUGCUAUAAAAUUCACAGUCAUAUUUAAACUGGGUCCUCAACAUUAUCUAACACUUAUUCUUAGGCCUCUCCAUUACCUUGCACACAGUUUUACAUGUCCCUGAACCCUGUACUUCAACAGAUCUCCAGGAGAAACUCACCAUCUUCACACUUCAGAAAAAAACAAAAGCUAUUAGAUGUUCCUCCUUUACAAGCUUAUCUGCAUUGCUGAUCACCUCCUGUUUCUCCAAGAAACUAUUUUCUCUUAUCCAUUCCUGCUCUGUCUUUUCAACUACCUGGAACAAAUGCCCUUCUCCUCGAUAUCCAUUUGACUCUUUAUUGACCUUUCAAAAGUCAAUUCACUCUCCGUAUUUUCUUAAAAAGCAUCUCCUGAUCUUCACCCUCACCUCUAGCUAUGGGGUUAGGCACUUGACCCUCUACUUGGUUCCUACUGCAGUCUAUAUGUGUACAUCUGAGAAUGCUUAUAUAACGUAGUAUCUAAUUUUCAUGCUAGAUUCUGAGGAAUUUAAGGACACAGUCCACUUGUAUCUCACAUUCCUAUACCAGAGCCUUCCCCAUAGCAGUCACUAAUUUGUAUAAUAAACUAAAUAAUUAUGGCAGGUUCGUUUAUGCUUCCAAAUGUGUAAAUCAAGUUAUAGUGAAUUAAUAUUCAUAAGUCUUAUUGUAAGCACAGUAAAUGCGUCAUAUGCCAGAAGGACCCUACUUUCAAGGGCAAUAAAUGAUAUUUAGGGGAAAAAAGGUAAUACUUAAAAUGAGACACUUGCAGCUUGCAAAAGGAGUUAGCUCAAUACACAUUUCCACAAUUACUUGAAAAAAAUAUUUUUAAAAUACUUUCAAGGUAAAGUUACUUUGUCUGUAUUAUCUCUUCUAUGUCUUCCUUCUGAUGGUCUAGAUUUCAGUGAUGCAACAUUAUCC
Long non-coding RNA from Nomascus leucogenys (northern white-cheeked gibbon), 1623 nucleotides. RefSeq lists it as uncharacterized. The transcript is spliced from 3 exons. Lineage: Eukaryota; Metazoa; Chordata; Mammalia; Primates; Hylobatidae. The record is from RefSeq and is a predicted model, not a curated record.